GCGGAUGUAGUUUAGUGGUAGAACUUCAGCUUCCCAAGCUGACCGUGUGGGUUCGAUUCCCAUCAUCCGCUCCA
Molecule: transfer RNA, 74 nt
Filed under: Clostridium sp.
Lineage: Bacteria; Bacillati; Bacillota; Clostridia; Eubacteriales; Clostridiaceae
Description: tRNA-Gly
Rfam family: tRNA
About the family: Transfer RNA (tRNA) molecules are approximately 80 nucleotides in length. Their secondary structure includes four short double-helical elements and three loops (D, anti-codon, and T loops). Further hydrogen bonds mediate the characteristic L-shaped molecular structure. tRNAs have two regions of fundamental functional importance: the anti-codon, which is responsible for specific mRNA codon recognition, and the 3' end, to which the tRNAs corresponding amino acid is attached (by aminoacyl-tRNA synthetases). tRNAs cope with the degeneracy of the genetic code in two manners: having more than one tRNA (with a specific anti-codon) for a particular amino acid; and 'wobble' base-pairing, i.e. permitting non-standard base-pairing at the 3rd anti-codon position.
Source: RNAcentral